This 536-nucleotide ribosomal RNA is filed under the name Pseudomonas kilonensis. RNAcentral describes it as "bacterial SSU rRNA". It matches the Rfam family "Bacterial small subunit ribosomal RNA", at positions 157 to 688 of the family's 1533-position model. The record is from RNAcentral. Lineage: Bacteria; Pseudomonadati; Pseudomonadota; Gammaproteobacteria; Pseudomonadales; Pseudomonadaceae.
GGAACGCUAAUACCGCAUACGUCCUACGGGAGAAAGCAGGGGACCUUCGGGCCUUGCGCUAUCAGAUGAGCCUAGGUCGGAUUAGCUAGUUGGUGGGGUAAUGGCUCACCAAGGCGACGAUCCGUAACUGGUCUGAGAGGAUGAUCAGUCACACUGGAACUGAGACACGGUCCAGACUCCUACGGGAGGCAGCAGUGGGGAAUAUUGGACAAUGGGCGAAAGCCUGAUCCAGCCAUGCCGCGUGUGUGAAGAAGGUCUUCGGAUUGUAAAGCACUUUAAGUUGGGAGGAAUGGUAUUAACCUAAUACGUUAGUGUUUUGACGUUACCGACAGAAUAAGCACCGGCUAACUCUGUGCCAGCAGCCGCGGUAAUACAGAGGGUGCAAGCGUUAAUCGGAAUUACUGGGCGUAAAGCGCGCGUAGGUGGUUUGUUAAGUUGGAUGUGAAAGCCCCGGGCUCAACCUGGGAACUGCAUCCAAAACUGGCAAGCUAGAGUACGGUAGAGGGUGGUGGAAUUUCCUGUGUAGCGGUGAAAUG